This 541-nucleotide long non-coding RNA is filed under the name Nicotiana benthamiana. RNAcentral's name for it is "long non-coding RNA (NBEN_LNC040732)". Lineage: Eukaryota; Viridiplantae; Streptophyta; Magnoliopsida; Solanales; Solanaceae. The record is from RNAcentral.
CUGCUGAGACAACUCUGUAAGCUGGUGGUGCAAAUUGGGGUGGAGGAAUGGUAAGAAUCCCACAAUUGGAAGGCCACGAGGCCCUGGUGGCAACCCAGGUUCUGUCUUCUGUGGUAUAUUUGAUGUCCUUUUGUACCAUAUAAUUGUCAGGAACACAAUUGAAAGGGUAAUACCUGCAAGACCAAGCUCGUUUAGAGGUGCUAAAGCCAUGUUUAGUAUAGGGAGAUAGUCUCAGGUCUUCUUCAAAUACCAGUUUUUGAAAGGAAGCCUAUUAUUUAACCUCACAAUGAAAUACUCUUAGUCUUUAUCAGUAGGGAAGAUAGUCUUAGCGCUGCUUCUAAUAUCAACUUCUGUAAGGAAGACAAUUAUCAAUAUAGAAGCUAAGUUUUCCAUCCAUAUAGAUAAGGUAAGUAUGGUUGAAGGCAAAUGCAAUAAUAAUGGAGUACUGACUAUGACUGAUUUGAACUAGCAAAAGGAAAUGUUAAAACACUUUAGAAGAAGGAAACUACCAACAUCAUAUCAAAAGUACAUGUGACGUAAC